GCCCUUUCUCCAUAAAGAUUGCCUUGAGUCCCCCUGGCUCCAGGCCUGACUCUGAACCCUGGCACCGGACACAGCCCUGUCCCUGGCAAUGCCUGUGUGUCCGGGACCCCUGGGGACGUCUCCCAGGAGUCUUCCCCUCAGCAGGAACACCCCCCUCCUCUUUGUCCUCCGGUUGAGUAUUCAGAGGAAGUCCCAGGUCAGUGCCUCACCUUUCAGCUGUUCCAGCACCUCAGUCUGCCCGGAGGACACCAACACACGGGCCUCCUGCUCCAGUUUGCCCUUGCAGCCUCCUCCUGGAAGCCCUCCUGCCUGCCCUUCAUCCCAGGCUGCCUCGCGGAACUGCAUCAGACAUCUCCAUCACCAAUAAGAAAGGACCUACAGCUGGGGGGGGGGGG
Bubalus bubalis (water buffalo) is the source of this 395-nucleotide long non-coding RNA. RefSeq lists it as uncharacterized. Lineage: Eukaryota; Metazoa; Chordata; Mammalia; Artiodactyla; Bovidae. The record is from RefSeq and is a predicted model, not a curated record. The transcript has 3 exons.